This 958-nucleotide ribosomal RNA is filed under the name Escherichia coli. Its description in RNAcentral is "bacterial SSU rRNA". It matches the Rfam family "Bacterial small subunit ribosomal RNA", at positions 199 to 1153 of the family's 1533-position model. Lineage: Bacteria; Pseudomonadati; Pseudomonadota; Gammaproteobacteria; Enterobacterales; Enterobacteriaceae. The record is from RNAcentral.
ACCUUCGGGCCUCUUGCCAUCGGAUGUGCCCAGAUGGGAUUAGCUUGUUGGUGGGGUAACGGCUCACCAAGGCGACGAUCCCUAGCUGGUCUGAGAGGAUGACCAGCCACACUGGAACUGAGACACGGUCCAGACUCCUACGGGAGGCAGCAGUGGGGAAUAUUGCACAAUGGGCGCAAGCCUGAUGCAGCCAUGCCGCGUGUAUGAAGAAGGCCUUCGGGUUGUAAAGUACUUUCAGCGGGGAGGAAGGGAGUAAAGUUAAUACCUUUGCUCAUUGACGUUACCCGCAGAAGAAGCACCGGCUAACUCCGUGCCAGCAGCCGCGGUAAUACGGAGGGUGCAAGCGUUAAUCGGAAUUACUGGGCGUAAAGCGCACGCAGGCGGUUUGUUAAGUCAGAUGUGAAAUCCCCGGGCUCAACCUGGGAACUGCAUCUGAUACUGGCAAGCUUGAGUCUCGUAGAGGGGGGUAGAAUUCCAGGUGUAGCGGUGAAAUGCGUAGAGAUCUGGAGGAAUACCGGUGGCGAAGGCGGCCCCCUGGACGAAGACUGACGCUCAGGUGCGAAAGCGUGGGGAGCAAACAGGAUUAGAUACCCUGGUAGUCCACGCCGUAAACGAUGUCGACUUGGAGGUUGUGCCCUUGAGGCGUGGCUUCCGGAGCUAACGCGUUAAGUCGACCGCCUGGGGAGUACGGCCGCAAGGUUAAAACUCAAAUGAAUUGACGGGGGCCCGCACAAGCGGUGGAGCAUGUGGUUUAAUUCGAUGCAACGCGAAGAACCUUACCUGGUCUUGACAUCCACGGAAGUUUUCAGAGAUGAGAAUGUGCCUUCGGGAACCGUGAGACAGGUGCUGCAUGGCUGUCGUCAGCUCGUGUUGUGAAAUGUUGGGUUAAGUCCCGCAACGAGCGCAACCCUUAUCCUUUGUUGCCAGCGGUCCGGCCGGGAACUCAAAGGAGACUGCC